CAAUUGCUUGCUGAGGGCAGAUCAAAUGGAUGUGGCUGUCGAAGCCUCCCGCCGUGACAAUGCUGUGCUCACCAGCGAUUACGUCGGUAUUGCUACCAAUCACCAUGGCCUUGUCGACUCCGGCCAUGACGUCCGGAUUGCCAGCCUUGCCGAUGCCGACGAUGAAUCCGUCUUUCAGACCGAUGUCAGCUUUGUAGAUUCCGGUCCAGUCCACGAUCAACGCAUUGGUGAUGACAGUGUCAAGACACUCCGUGUCGGCCCAGCCCACGGCCUGACCCAUACCAUCGCGGAUCG
The sequence is a small RNA, 294 nucleotides long. It matches the Rfam family "5' ureB small RNA". The record is from Rfam.